GCUAGCCUUUUGUUUUAAUGUUGAGCUGAGUUGACUAUGUGCUGUUACUGUCCUUGUCCUCGUUUGUGACAAUAAAGGUUAUCCUGGAUCAGAACAAGGCGGAGAAUGAUACAAAAUGUGUACUUGAUGACAGUUUUAAUACGUUAAGCAACUGAAGUGAAAGGGGCAGAAAUAAUGACCUGGCUAGAAGUUAAUGGCUGAGCCCACCCAAUUAUUUGCUGGGAGACAAUGCCUGUUCAGUCACCACAGACACCAGGCAAAACAAACUUCCUGCCAGGCCAGCUGCUAGAAAGGCAUCACAUUCUACCUCAGGCUGUUCACCUAAACCAUUGUAAAUAAGGCAGGACAAACUAUACUUUUUUUUUGGAUACCACUGUUUUGAACUAUAAGUUGUGUUACAUUCCCACUAGCAAUCUGCUUUGACUAAAUCAUGAUUAAAGAUCUGUUGAGUUUGCUUUGCAUUGGCAUUUCACCAGAGCUCCCUAUUGUAGGAUCAAGGCUCAAAGCAAAGAGGGGGAAAAACAGCUAGCUUGCAUUGCAAGCUCUUUGCCUCACUUCCCCACUGCAUGACUCCCUUCCCCCGCCACCUCAUGUUCUCCACAAGUCCAGAUGUAUUUUGCAGAAAAGUAUGUGGCUCUAGUAAGAAUGAAGCAAGAUGAAGACAUCAAAAUGGAUUAUUCGGUUCUUCCCUUUAUCUAGCCACAUUCCCAUUAUCUCCCUUGCUGGGGUGGGGGGUGGGGUUGUGAAGGAGGAUAGUGGAAAGGAAGAAUGACAUUUAACCUUCAUUCUUUUUGAGUGGGAGUACCUAUUUCAACCCAUUUGAAAGCCUUAAGAGGAUAAGUGUUUUCUUUUCCAUUAGUAAGAACAGAAAUCAAAAUAUUCUUUCAAGUUUAAAGGGAAAGAGCCUUAAGAGAAUAAGUGUUUUCCACUAGUAAGAACAGAACUCAAAAUAUCCUUUCAAGUUUAAAGGUUUCAAAAGUCACAUUGAAUUGAAUCCAGUCCCAUAUGGAAAACCCUCCCAUGUAGGUCACUUGUACAUAACUGAUUCCUUCCCCAAGAGCCCUUCGAUGAGAGGCUGAGGGCCCACACUUGCAGUGUGGGAUGUAGCACUUGGUACCCAGCAGUCCUGGUGUGUCCCAGGAGGGAGCUGGGCACGAAAGCCAUCAGGGCGGUAUUCACUCUACAGAGCCCACAGCCUGACACUGUCCCUUAGGCAGGAACACCUUUCAAGGGAAUGGCCUCUUCCAGAAUGCCCCAUGGUGGUGACUGCUGGACCCAUGCUGAGUGCAACUACAAGAAAAAUCAGUUCCUGGGAAACGCCUUGAACACAUCCCUUCUUAAAAACUCAACCCUCCCAAGACUGAAACCUGCCACAACUGUCUUGGCCACAGCUGUCUCCAACCACCCUCCAAAUGUGGGUUUGGUUCACUUUUGGUUUAGAUAGCUUUACCAAAGAACUUUUUCUUGAAAAGAUGAUUAGAGAGGAGGAGGGAAAGUAAGAAGUUAUAGUAUAUUAUAAGGCUGUGAAAAAUCUAUCGUGCAAACAAACCCUUUCCACAUAGCACUAGAUAAAGAUUAAAGACAAUUGUAGUAGUAUAAAAAUAAUUGUAUAUGUGUAU
This is a long non-coding RNA of Phyllostomus discolor (pale spear-nosed bat), 1619 nucleotides long. RefSeq lists it as uncharacterized. NCBI's taxonomy places the organism in Eukaryota, Metazoa, Chordata, Mammalia, Chiroptera, Phyllostomidae. The transcript has 2 exons. The record is from RefSeq and is a predicted model, not a curated record.